This 307-nucleotide RNase P RNA is filed under the name bovine gut metagenome. Its description in RNAcentral is "Bacterial RNase P class A". It matches the Rfam family "Bacterial RNase P class A", at positions 32 to 358 of the family's 367-position model. From Rfam's summary of the family: Ribonuclease P (RNase P) is a ubiquitous endoribonuclease, found in archaea, bacteria and eukarya as well as chloroplasts and mitochondria. Its best characterised activity is the generation of mature 5'-ends of tRNAs by cleaving the 5'-leader elements of precursor-tRNAs. Cellular RNase Ps are ribonucleoproteins. The record is from RNAcentral.
CUUGCGUACAUGAGGAAAGUCCGAGCUUCACAGGGCAGAGGUGCCGGUUAACGGCCGGUGGAGGCGACUCCAAGGAUAGUGCAACAGAGAUAUACCGCCGCAAAGCAUUUGCGGUAAGGGUGGAAAGGCGAGGUAAGAGCUCACCGACGGCAUGGCGACUUGUCCGUCCUGUAAACCCCACCUGAAGCAAGAUUGAAUUGAGAGCAUUUAAUGGCGGCCCGUCAAGCUCUUUGUAAUCGCUUGAGCUGUGUGGUAACAUACAGCCUAGAUAGAUAGUCACACAAGACAGAACUCGGCUUACUGCUUG